AAGCCAGGCAGAGACAGCAGCGGGCUGUCAGCAGAGGAGCUGGGCUGAGGCGCCCAGGGGAGCAGCGGCGCCCACGAAGGAAGUACGAGGACAGCACGUGGAGGCUCCGCGCUGGGGCACUGCUGCUCAGCCCCCAACACCUGAGCUCCCAGAGCCCGGCAGGAGCCCCAACAGGAAGCCGGCGCGGCAUGGCUGCCACCGACUUCGUGCAGGAGAUGCGCGCCGUGGGCGAGAGGCUGCUGCUCAAGCUGCAGAGACUGCCCCAGGCUGAGCCCGUGGAGAUCGUGGCCUUCUCAGUCAUCAUCCUUUUCACAGCCAGCCACUGUUCUGCUGUUGCUGCUGAUAGCCUGCAGCUGCUGCUGCACUCACAGCUGCUGCCCUGAGCGGAGAGGCAGGAAGGUCCAGGUGCAGCCGACACCACCAUGACGGACGGGCGAUGGCUGAGGAGAAGCUGGAGAGGAGAUGGCCAAUGCCAUGACACAGGCCAUCAGCCUGGUCCUGCAGCCCUUACCCCUCAAGACCAGGCUCCCCUGGCCCCAGCUCUGGCCCAGCCCAGGUACCUGGACACUGACAACUUGAGCCCUACCAAGGAAACAAGGACUGGUAUAGGUGCAAACCUCUCAUCUGCCAGUGGACACUGGGUGCUGGGGAGUCAGCUGUUUCAAAGAUUGGGUCAACUGCCUGGGCUUCUUCGCCUACCUGCACUUUUUAACAAAACAAGGAAGUAGGGGUCCCCAUACCUUGAUGGAGAACAGUCCCCACCUGUGGGCAAUUGGCCCUUGGGGCUCUGCUGAUACAUGCCAAAGAGGAGCAAGGCAAUCAGAGGGGCUUUGUGCAAUAGCUUCUGCAUCCGAGCUCCCGCCAGAGCGUG
This 871-nucleotide long non-coding RNA is filed under the name Pan troglodytes (chimpanzee). RNAcentral describes it as "long non-coding RNA NONPTRT006930". The record is from RNAcentral. Lineage: Eukaryota; Metazoa; Chordata; Mammalia; Primates; Hominidae.